UUUAGUAUCACAAAGACGACCCAUAUCUCAGUGCUCAGCUGAUUCUCUCUAUCAUUAGAUCUACGAGUCGAGGCAUACAAUGAAAAAUCUUGUACAGAUUUCUUAUGAAGAGGAAAUGAGUUCGAUAUUCUCGGUCGAUGGACGAAAUAAGAAUUACGUGAUACAACGAUUAGGUGGCGGAUUUUUUACGAAAAUCAAAGGAUAAAUUGCUAUAAAUUGCGCAAUUCCUUGAGGUAUAGUUGAGUGCAUGGAAAAUGUGGUCUUGAGUGGUUUCUUUGGGCAUCAGUAUUUGAGGAGGAAGUCACAAAGAAAGCUAGGCUAGUGGAAAAUUACACGUGAAUAAUCAAACUUUCAGAUUCGGGUAAUAAGGAAAAUGAUUUCAAAUUUAAAAAAUUCCACUUUGAACUUCUCGAUUAUUGACAACUCCAUUUGCAUACAGUCAAAGUUAUGGAAAUAAAAAAAACUCGUCAUGCAAGAGUUAAAAAGAGUGACUACUCCAAAAAUUCCCGCGGAACCGAUUGACUCCGGAAAUAUUUUCAAAAAAAUUGCAAUUAUUGUAAGCAAAAUGUUCGAGCCAACACCCAAUCACUCAAAAUCCUCGAAAAAUCCAAAAAUACCCAAUGAAACUGUCUAGUGUUCCCGCGCCAUGAAACAAUUAAAAAUAGAUUAUCAAAAUUGAUAGCCUUAUUGCAACGCUAUCACUCUCCCCGAUAACGACGAGUGCCUUGAGAUCUUCAAACCCGAAGAUAAAGUGCCACGAAAAAAAAAAGAAAGCUCCAUUGAAGUUCACCUGAAUAAAUAUAUGAAACAAACUCCAUAUGGACAAUUAACCAUAAAUGAACAAUAAAAAACCUAUUACACGGCAGAAUUAAUUGUCGCAGCCCUCAAUACCCCUGAAA
Long non-coding RNA from Fopius arisanus, 899 nucleotides. RefSeq lists it as uncharacterized. Lineage: Eukaryota; Metazoa; Arthropoda; Insecta; Hymenoptera; Braconidae. The transcript is spliced from 3 exons. The record is from RefSeq and is a predicted model, not a curated record.